This 253-nucleotide ribosomal RNA is filed under the name uncultured bacterium. Its description in RNAcentral is "partial 16S ribosomal RNA". It matches the Rfam family "Bacterial small subunit ribosomal RNA", at positions 524 to 776 of the family's 1533-position model. The record is from RNAcentral.
UACGUAGGGUGCGAGCGUUAAUCGGAAUUACUGGGCGUAAAGCGUGCGCAGGCGGUUUUGUAAGCCAGAUGUGAAAUCCCCGGGCUUAACCUGGGAAUGGCAUUUGGGACUGCAAGGCUGGAGUGCGGCAGAGGAGACUGGAAUUCCUGGUGUAGCAGUGAAAUGCGUAGAUAUCAGGAGGAAUACCGAUGGCGAAGGCAGGUCUCUGGGCUGACACUGACGCUCAUGCACGAAAGCGUGGGGAGCAAACGGG